AUCCAGCUGAUGAGUCCCAAAUAGGACGAAACGUGCGUCAAAAUGGAU
RNAcentral lists this non-coding RNA (48 nucleotides) under Schistosoma haematobium. Lineage: Eukaryota; Metazoa; Platyhelminthes; Trematoda; Strigeidida; Schistosomatidae. The record is from RNAcentral.